Molecule: long non-coding RNA, 877 nt
Organism: Mercurialis annua (annual mercury)
Lineage: Eukaryota; Viridiplantae; Streptophyta; Magnoliopsida; Malpighiales; Euphorbiaceae
Exons: 3
Source: RefSeq, a predicted model, not a curated record
CCUCAUCUUCUACGCAUCACGAUUUAAAGAAGAAAGAGAGCUAGGGUGUAGAAUUUUGGGUAGCAAUUUCAAACAAUCACUCUUAAGAAGGAUCAAUUCAUCAUUUGCCAUCAACUUUGGGAGCUAAAGUGGAGAUUCUACGUGUUAUCGGAUAGGAGAAAUAGAAGAAUUGGAGUUAAUCAACGGGCUAUAUUAUAUUUGCUUUUGGAAAAUUUGGAUUAAGCGAUCGAGGUAUCCAGUAGAUAGUGUUCAAGUCGAACCUCCACUCCUUGUUUCGGAAGGCUCAUCACUUUUUGCAUGUACAGCUUCUGACUCUCUAGCGCUGCAGUAGUUCAGGCUUACACUUUUGUCGAGGUCCUACUAGCGGUUUAAGUAUAUUUUGGUCUAGUGACCGCUCAUGUUUAUAGUUUUUUUGUUAGGCCUCGUUUUCUGAUUAACGAACAAACAUCAGAGGUAGUUUUAGUUUAACUACUUAAUAUGUGUAUUUUGUAAAUGCGUAGAAUGGAAUUUGGCAAUAUAGAUUAUGGUUGUAUAAGUUUGUCGUGCAGGGUGGUUUGAGAUUUAACAGGUGUUGGUUAGUUAAAAUUACAGCCGUUAUAUUGCCAAAUUUUCGAAAAAAGAAAUACUUAAGUAUUAUAACGAUUUUUAAACGCGAAAAUUUUUUAGGUAAAAUUUAGGCUUGCUACGGGUUUCGGAACCAAAAUUUCCAUUCCCUAGCGCCGGUCGCGGCACGAGAAAUCGGGUCGUGACAAUAUCAGCACAUAGAAACGUGAACUAAUGGAAUAGGCUUUCAUUUGAAUCGGAAAUUUGGACGCAUUGGAUUUCGUCUUAAUGUUUAUUAGUAGAUUUUGCGAACUCACUCAGUUUAUAAAACUGA